AUGAACGCUGGCGGCGUGCUUAACACAUGCAAGUCGAACGGAAAGGCCCAAGCUUGCUUGGGUGCUCGAGUGGCGAACGGGUGAGUAACACGUGGGUGAUCUGCCCUGCACUUUGGGUUAAGCCUGGGAAACUGGGUCUAAUACCGGAUAGGACCAUCGUUUAGUGUCGGUGUUGGAAGGUUUUUCGGUGUGGGAUGAGUUCGCGGCCUAUCAGCUGGUUGGUGGGGUAAUGGCCUACCAAGGCGUCGACGGGUAGCCGGCCUGAGAGGGUGUACGGCCACAUUGGGACUGAGAUACGGCCCAGACUCCUACGGGAGGCAGCAGUGGGGAAUAUUGCACAAUGGGCGCAAGCCUGAUGCAGCGACGCCGCGUGGGGGAUGACGGCCUUCGGGUUGUAAACUCCUUUCGCCAAGGACGAAGCGUUUUGUGACGGUACUUGGAGAAGAAGCACCGGCUAACUACGUG
RNAcentral lists this ribosomal RNA (465 nucleotides) under uncultured bacterium. RNAcentral's name for it is "partial 16S ribosomal RNA". It matches the Rfam family "Bacterial small subunit ribosomal RNA", at positions 29 to 507 of the family's 1533-position model. The record is from RNAcentral.